This 65-nucleotide transfer RNA is filed under the name Takydromus sylvaticus. RNAcentral's name for it is "tRNA-Thr". It matches the Rfam family "tRNA". From Rfam's summary of the family: Transfer RNA (tRNA) molecules are approximately 80 nucleotides in length. Their secondary structure includes four short double-helical elements and three loops (D, anti-codon, and T loops). Lineage: Eukaryota; Metazoa; Chordata; Lepidosauria; Squamata; Lacertidae. The record is from RNAcentral.
GUCCUCGUAGCUUAAACUAAAGCAUUAGUCUUGUAAACUAAAAAUGAGAUAUUGCCUCCAGGACA